GAUUUUUAUGAGAUCUUAUACUCCCACGCGAAGGAGGGCGGUGAACCGAGGCUAAUGCACAUGAUGCAAAAUUUCAGAGACGCCCUUGUUGAUUGUGAAUUGGAGGACAUGGGUUGUAGUGGUGAUUUAUAUAGUUGGAGGAGGAGGAGGCUUAGAGAACGCCUCGAUAGAGCGGUAUGUAAUGGUCAGUUCCAUGAGCUUUUUCUUGAGCAAAUAUUACUAAUGCUCCACACACCAAGUCUGAUCACAGACCGAUAUUCAUUGAUACAGAGGGACAUGUACAGGGGGACCAUCAGCGAACCCAUCAGAGGUGCUUUGAAUCUAGGUGGCUGCAAGAGGAGAAUGUUAUGCAAAUUAUGUUUGAAGCUUGGGAUCGAACCAAUCCGUUGGCACCCAUUGCAGAGCGCACAUCAAGUGUACACGCCACCAUGCACGAAUGGGAUCGUUCGAUCUUGA
RNAcentral lists this ribosomal RNA (456 nucleotides) under Triticum aestivum (bread wheat). RNAcentral's name for it is "partial small subunit ribosomal RNA". Lineage: Eukaryota; Viridiplantae; Streptophyta; Magnoliopsida; Poales; Poaceae. The record is from RNAcentral.